GCGGGCAUCGUAUAAUGGCUAUUACCUCAGCCUUCCAAGCUGAUGAUGCGGGUUCGACUCCCGCUGCCCGCUCCA
RNAcentral lists this transfer RNA (75 nucleotides) under Escherichia coli. Its description in RNAcentral is "tRNA-Gly". It matches the Rfam family "tRNA". From Rfam's summary of the family: Transfer RNA (tRNA) molecules are approximately 80 nucleotides in length. Their secondary structure includes four short double-helical elements and three loops (D, anti-codon, and T loops). RNAcentral also lists the same sequence under 15 other names. The record is from RNAcentral. Lineage: Bacteria; Pseudomonadati; Pseudomonadota; Gammaproteobacteria; Enterobacterales; Enterobacteriaceae.